CUGCGAAUGGCUCAUUAUAUAAGUUAUCGUUUAUUUGAUAGCACCUUACUACUUGGAUAACCGUGGUAAUUCUAGAGCUAAUACAUGCUGAAAACCCCGACUUCGGAAGGGGUGUAUUUAUUAGAUUAAAAACCAAUGCCCUCUGGGCUCUCUGGUGAUUCAUGAUAACUCUUCGAAUCGCACGGCCUUGCGCCGGCGAUGGUUCAUUCAAAUUUCUUCCCUAUCAGCUUUCGAUGUUUGGGUAGUGGCCAAACAUGGCUGCAACGGGUAACGGAGGGUUAGGGCUCGACCCCGGAGAAGGAGCCUGAGAAACGGCUACUACAUCCAAGGAAGGCAGCAGGCGCGCAAAUUACCCAAUCCCGACACGGGGAGGUAGUGACAAUAAAUACUGAUACAGGGCUCUUUUGGGUCUUGUAAUUGGAAUGAGUACAAUUUAAAUCCCUUAACGAGGAACAAUUGGAGGGCAAGUCUGGUGCCAGCAGCCGCGGUAAUUCCAGCUCCAAUAGCGUAUAUUAAAGUUGUUGUGGUUAAAAAGCUCGUAGUUGAACCUUGGGCCUGGCUGGCCGGUCCGCCUCACCGCGUGCACUGGUCCGGCCGGGCCUUUCCCUCCGCGGAACCCCAUGCCCUUCACUGGGCGUGGCGGGGAAACGGGACUUUUACUUUGAAAAAAUUAGAGUGCUCCAGGCAGGCCUAUGCUCGAAUACAUUAGCAUGGAAUAAUGAAAUAGGACGCGCGGUUCUAUUUUGUUGGUUUCUAGGACCGCCGUAAUGAUUAAUAGGGACAGUCGGGGGCAUCAGUAUUCAAUUGUCAGAGGUGAAAUUCUUGGAUCAAUUGAAGACUAACUACUGCGAAAGCAUUUGCCAAGGAUGUUUUCAUUAAUCAGGAACGAAAGUUAGGGGAUCGAAGACGAUCAGAUACCGUCGUAGUCUUAACCAUAAACUAUGCCGACUAGGGAUCGGACGAUGUUAUUACUUGACUCGUUCGGCACCUUACGAGAAAUCAAAGUGC
This 1008-nucleotide ribosomal RNA is filed under the name Hirsutella citriformis. RNAcentral's name for it is "SSU rRNA". It matches the Rfam family "Eukaryotic small subunit ribosomal RNA", at positions 87 to 1106 of the family's 1831-position model. Lineage: Eukaryota; Fungi; Ascomycota; Sordariomycetes; Hypocreales; Ophiocordycipitaceae. The record is from RNAcentral.